AGGCCAGUUAGUAAUCCUAUGAUGGCCUCUAAGUGUUCAAGUACAAGGAAGAGUCAUUCAUCUUUGACUUUAAAUCAAAAGCUAGAAAUGUUUAAGGGUGGUGAGGAAGGCAUGCCAAAAGUCAAGACAGGCCAAAAGCUAGACUUCUUGCUCCAAACAGUUAGCCAAGUUGUAAAUUCAAAGGAGAAGUUCUUGAAGGAAAUUAAAAGUGAAACUCCAGUGAACAUAUGAACGAUAAGAAAGUCAAAUAGCCUUAUUGCUGACAUGGAGAAAGUUUUAGUGGUCUUGACAGAAGAUCAGCCACAACAUUCUCUUAAGCCAAAGCCUAGUCCAGAGCAAGUGUCUCUCCUCAAUUCUAUGAAAGCUGAGAGAGGUAAAGAAGCUGAGAAAAAAAAUGUUUGAAGUUAGUAGAGGUUGGUCCGUGAGGUUUAGGGAAAGAAACCAUCUCCAUAACAUAAAAGUACAAGAUGAGGCUGGGUGCGGUGGCUCACACCUGUAAUCGCAGCACUUUGGGAGGCCGAGGUGGGCAGAUCACCUGAGGUCAGGAGUUUGAGACUAGCCUGGCCAACAUGGUGAAACCCCAUCUCUACUAAAAAUACAAAAAUUAGCUGGAUGUGGUGGCAGCCACCUGUAGUCCCAGCUACUCAGGAGGCUGAGUCUGGAGAAUCGCUUGAACCUGGGAGAUGGAGGUUGCAGUGAGCUGAGUGCACCAUGCACUCCAGCCUGGGUUGCAGAGCAAGACUCCGUCUCAAAAAAAAAAAAAAAAAAAAGGUGAAGCAGCAGCAAGUGCCAAAGUAGAAGAUGCACUAAGUUAUCCAGAAGAUCUAAUUAAGAUCAGUAAUGGAAGUGGCUACACUAAACAACAGAUUUUCAAUGGCGACAGAACAGCCUUCUGUUGAAAGAAGAUGGUGUCUGGGACUUUCAUAACUAGACAGGAGUCAAUGUCUGUCUUCAAAGUGUCAAAGGAUAGGCUAACUUUCCUGUUAGGGUCUAUUGCAGCUGGUGACUUUGAGUUGAAGACAAUGCUCAUUUGUCACUUUGAAAAUUCUAAGCCCCUUAAGAAUUAUGCUAAAUCAACUCUGCCUGUGCUCUAUAAAUGGAUGACAGCACUUCUGUUUACAGCAUGGUUUACUAAAUAUUUUAAGCCCAGUGAUGAGAUCUACUGCUCAGAAAAAAAGAUUCCUUUCAAAAUAUUACUGCUUAUUGAUAAUGCACCUGGUCACCCAAAAGGUCUGAUGGAGAUGUGCAGGACGACAAAUGUUGUUUUCAUGCAUUCAUUCUGCAGCCCAUGGAUCAAGAAGUAAUUUCGACUUUCAAGUCUUACUCUUGAAGAAAUACAUUUUGUAAGACUAUAGCUGCCAUAGAUGGUGACUCUUCUAAUGGAUCUGGGCAAAGUAUAUUGAAAACCUUCUGGGAAGGAUUCACCAUUCUAGAUGCGAUUAAGAGCAUUGGUGAUUAACGGGAGAAUAUCAACAUUAACAGGAGUUUGGAAGAAGUUGAUUCCCAUCCCCAUGAAUGACUUCGAAGGUUUCAAGAUUCAGUGAAGGAAGUAACUGUAGAUGUGGUGGAAAUAGCAAGAGAACUAGAAUUAUAAGUGGAGCCUGAAGACGGGACUGAAUUGUUGCAAUCUCAUGAUAAAACUUGAGCAAAUCAAGAGCUGCUUCUUAUGGAUGAGCAAAGCAAGUGGUCUCUUGAGAUAAAAUCUAUUCCUGGUGAAGAUGUUGUGAACAUUGUUGAGAUGAUGACAAAGGAUUUAGAAUAACCCAUAAACUUAAUUGAUAAAGCAGCAGCAGGGUUUGAGAGGAUUGAAUCCAGUUUUGAAAGAAAUUCUACUGAGACUAAAAUGCUGUCAAACAGCAUCGCAUGCUACAGAGAAGUCUUUCAUGAAAGGAAGAAUCAAUCUAUGUGACAAACUUCAUUAUUGUCUUACUAUGAUUAGGUUGUCUUACAGCCACCCCAACCUUCAGCAACCACUGCUGACCAUGUUGAUCGGUCAGCAGCCAUCAACAUCAAGGCAAGACACUCCACCAGCAAAAGAUGAUGACUUGCUGAAGGCUCAGAUGUUUCUUAGCAUUUUUUAGCCAUAAUGUAUUUUAAAAUUAAGGUUUCUACUUUUUUUUUUAAAAUACAUAAUGCUCUUGUACUCCGAAUAGAACUGAAGUCCCACUGCUAAAUUUGACUGGCUUAAAAAAAUACACUACAGUAUAGUGUAAACAUAAAUUUUAUAUACAGUGGGAAACCAAAAUAUUGUAUGACUCCCUUUACUAUAAUAUUCAUUUUAUUGGGGUAGUCUGGAACCAAACCGACAAGAUCUCUGUAUAAUUUAUUUGUAUAGGAGAGAAAAACACACAUUUGGAGUUCACAUUGCUCAAUAUAUUUCUCUAAACAAAAUUCUGUCCAGUUGAAAACUUAUUAGCCUUUUAAGAGAGUCUUGUUCUGCAGUUGAUCCAUACUCACAAAUUUCAUUGAAUUCUUUGUAAAAUCUGCACAAAAAAUUACUAGAAUCAGAAUCUUAGAAAUUAUGCAUAUCUAAAGUAAAUUUAAUUUUUGGAGGGUGUUCAUUUGGAAAGAUCAGGGAGAUUAAAGGAGAAAAAUUAUUACAUACAAGAGGAAAUAAUCUUACUUUCUGGGUGAACUAUUUUUCUGCAUGAUCAAUUUCUCUUUUUAGGAGUUUGGCUAAAAUGAAUUAUGAAUUUUAGGCUUUAAGUAAUAUCCAGUUUGCUUUCAAAUAUCUCUCUCACACGCACACAUAUGCAGAGCACACUUUUAAUUUUCAAGUCUUUAUUAAUGAUUCCAACGCAUGCAAGAUAUGAAAAUAUUUAGAAAAGGCUAGUAGAAUAUAUGUUGUUUAUUUUAUGAACUACAGUAAGGCAGUUCAUUAGCAAAAUGUAAAAGCAAAUAGAAUACUAUGAGACAAAUGGGUCACCUUGGUACAUCUAGAGAAUUCUAAGAGGACAGAGUUAAAUUUAUCUGAAUCUACUUUGUAAUUGAAAAGUGUUAUAAUGCAAUAAGAAAAUAUAUCAACAAGUUGUAAUUUCUCCUACCUUAAAAACAGCAAAAACAAUAAAAAAAAA
Molecule: long non-coding RNA, 3074 nt
Filed under: Homo sapiens (human)
Lineage: Eukaryota; Metazoa; Chordata; Mammalia; Primates; Hominidae
Description: lncAB340.1
Rfam family: mir-1255 microRNA precursor family (bases 1663-1728)
Source: RNAcentral